This 3009-nucleotide ribosomal RNA is filed under the name Salmonella enterica subsp. enterica. RNAcentral describes it as "bacterial LSU rRNA". It matches the Rfam family "Bacterial large subunit ribosomal RNA". The record is from RNAcentral. Lineage: Bacteria; Pseudomonadati; Pseudomonadota; Gammaproteobacteria; Enterobacterales; Enterobacteriaceae. RNAcentral also lists the same sequence under 1 other name.
GGGUUGUGAGGUUAAGCGACCAAGCGUACACGGUGGAUGCCCUGGCAGUCAGAGGCGAUGAAGGACGUGCUAAUCUGCGAAAAGCGCCGGUAAGGUGAUAUGAACCGUUAUAACCGGCGAUGUCCGAAUGGGGAAACCCAGUGUGACUCGUCACACUAUCAUUAACUGAAUCCAUAGGUUAAUGAGGCGAACCGGGGGAACUGAAACAUCUAAGUACCCCGAGGAAAAGAAAUCAACCGAGAUUCCCCCAGUAGCGGCGAGCGAACGGGGAGGAGCCCAGAGCCUGAAUCAGCAUGUGUGUUAGUGGAAGCGUCUGGAAAGGCGCGCGAUACAGGGUGACAGCCCCGUACACAAAAGCGCAUGUGCUGUGAGCUCGAUGAGUAGGGCGGGACACGUGGUAUCCUGUCUGAAUAUGGGGGGACCAUCCUCCAAGGCUAAAUACUCCUGACUGACCGAUAGUGAACCAGUACCGUGAGGGAAAGGCGAAAAGAACCCCGGCGAGGGGAGUGAAACAGAACCUGAAACCGUGUACGUACAAGCAGUGGGAGCAUGAGUUUACUCAUGUGACUGCGUACCUUUUGUAUAAUGGGUCAGCGACUUAUAUUCUGUAGCAAGGUUAACCGAAUAGGGGAGCCGGAGGGAAACCGAGUCUUAAUUGGGCGUUAAGUUGCAGGGUAUAGACCCGAAACCCGGUGAUCUAGCCAUGGGCAGGUUGAAGGUUGGGUAACACUAACUGGAGGACCGAACCGACUAAUGUUGAAAAAUUAGCGGAUGACCUGUGGCUGGGGGUGAAAGGCCAAUCAAACCGGGAGAUAGCUGGUUCUCCCCGAAAGCUAUUUAGGUAGCGCCUCGUGAAUUCAUCUCCGGGGGUAGAGCACUGUUUCGGCCAGGGGGCCAUCCCGGCUUACCAACCCGAUGCAAACUGCGAAUACCGGAGAAUGUUAUCACGGGAGACACACGGCGGGUGCUAACGUCCGUCGUGAAGAGGGAAACAACCCAGACCGCCAGCUAAGGUCCCAAAGUCAUGGUUAAGUGGGAAACGAUGUGGGAAGGCCCAGACAGCCAGGAUGUUGGCUUAGAAGCAGCCAUCAUUUAAAGAAAGCGUAAUAGCUCACUGGUCGAGUCGGCCUGCGCGGAAGAUGUAACGGGGCUAAACCAUGCACCGAAGCUGCGGCAGCGAACGUAUCACUUAAAGCGAUUCAGCGGAUGACGAUUGACGGAGCGAAGCGACGUCAAAGCGUUUUACAACGUCGAGUCGGUUUAAGGAUACGUUCGUUGGGUAGGGGAGCGUUCUGUAAGCCUGCGAAGGUGGCCUGUGAGGGUUGCUGGAGGUAUCAGAAGUGCGAAUGCUGACAUAAGUAACGAUAAUGCGGGUGAAAAACCCGCACGCCGGAAGACCAAGGGUUCCUGUCCAACGUUAAUCGGGGCAGGGUGAGUCGACCCCUAAGGCGAGGCCGAAAGGCGUAGUCGAUGGGAAACAGGUUAAUAUUCCUGUACCUGGUGUUACUGCGAAGGGGGGACGGAGAAGGCUAUGUUGGCCGGGCGACGGUUGUCCCGGUUUAAGCGUGUAGGCUGGUUUUCCAGGCAAAUCCGGAAAAUCAAGGCUGAGGCGUGAUGACGAGGCACUACGGUGCUGAAGCAACAAAUGCCCUGCUUCCAGGAAAAGCCUCUAAGCCUCAGGUAACAUCAGAUCGUACCCGAAACCGACACAGGUGGUCAGGUAGAGAAUACCAAGGCGCUUGAGAGAACCCGGGUGAAGGAACUAGGCAAAAUGGUGCCGUAACUUCGGGAGAAGGCACGCUGACACGUAGGUGAAGCGGUUUACCCGUGAAGCUGAAGUCAGUCGAAGAUACCAGCUGGCUGCAACUGUUUAUUAAAAACACAGCACUGUGCAAACACGAAAGUGGACGUAUACGGUGUGACGCCUGCCCGGUGCCGGAAGGUUAAUUGAUGGGGUCAGCGCAAGCGAAGCUCCUGAUCGAAGCCCCGGUAAACGGCGGCCGUAACUAUAACGGUCCUAAGGUAGCGAAAUUCCUUGUCGGGUAAGUUCCGACCUGCACGAAUGGCGUAAUGAUGGCCAGGCUGUCUCCACCCGGGACUCAGUGAAAUUGAACUCGCUGUGAAGAUGCAGUGUACCCGCGGCAAGACGGAAAGACCCCGUGAACCUUUACUAUAGCUUGACACUGAACACUGGUCCUUGAUGUGCAGGAUAGGUGGGAGGCUUUGAAGUGUGGACGCCAGUCUGCAUGGAGCCGUCCUUGAAAUACCACCCUUUAAUGGCUGGUGUUCUAACGUAGACCCGUGAACCGGGUUGCGGACAGUGUCUGGUGGGUAGUUUGACUGGGGCGGUCUCCUCCUAAAGCGUAACGGAGGAGCACGAAGGUUGGCUAAUCCUGGUCGGACAUCAGGAGGUUAGUGCAAUGGCAUAAGCCAGCUUGACUGCGAGCGUGACGGCGCGAGCAGGUGCGAAAGCAGGUCAUAGUGAUCCGGUGGUUCUGAAUGGAAGGGCCAUCGCUCAACGGAUAAAAGGUACUCCGGGGAUAACAGGCUGAUACCGCCCAAGAGUUCAUAUCGACGGCGGUGUUUGGCACCUCGAUGUCGGCUCAUCACAUCCUGGGGCUGAAGUAGGUCCCAAGGGUAUGGCUGUUCGCCAUUUAAAGUGGUACGCGAGCUGGGUUUAGAACGUCGUGAGACAGUUCGGUCCCUAUCUGCCGUGGGCGCUGGAGAACUGAGGGGGGCUGCUCCUAGUACGAGAGGACCGGAGUGGACGCAUCACUGGUGUUCGGGUUGUCAUGCCAAUGGCACUGCCCGGUAGCUAAAUGCGGAAGAGAUAAGUGCUGAAAGCAUCUAAGCACGAAACUUGCCCCGAGAUGAGUUCUCCCUGAGACUACAAGUCUCCUGAAGGAACGUUGAAGACGACGACGUUGAUAGGCCGGGUGUGUAAGCGCAGCGAUGCGUUGAGCUAACCGGUACUAAUGAACCGUGAGGCUUAACCUUACAACGCCGAAG